RNAcentral lists this transfer RNA (86 nucleotides) under Chromatiales bacterium (ex Bugula neritina AB1). Its description in RNAcentral is "tRNA-Leu". It matches the Rfam family "tRNA". From Rfam's summary of the family: Transfer RNA (tRNA) molecules are approximately 80 nucleotides in length. Their secondary structure includes four short double-helical elements and three loops (D, anti-codon, and T loops). The record is from RNAcentral. Lineage: Bacteria; Pseudomonadati; Pseudomonadota; Gammaproteobacteria; Chromatiales.
GCCGGGGUGGCGGAAUUGGUAGACGCAGCGGAUUCAAAAUCCGCCGGUGAAUAACCUUGAGAGUUCGAGUCUCUCCCUCGGUACCA